RNAcentral lists this transfer RNA (74 nucleotides) under Candidatus Amesiibacteriota bacterium. Its description in RNAcentral is "Candidatus Amesbacteria bacterium tRNA-Val". It matches the Rfam family "tRNA". From Rfam's summary of the family: Transfer RNA (tRNA) molecules are approximately 80 nucleotides in length. Their secondary structure includes four short double-helical elements and three loops (D, anti-codon, and T loops). Further hydrogen bonds mediate the characteristic L-shaped molecular structure. tRNAs have two regions of fundamental functional importance: the anti-codon, which is responsible for specific mRNA codon recognition, and the 3' end, to which the tRNAs corresponding amino acid is attached (by aminoacyl-tRNA synthetases). tRNAs cope with the degeneracy of the genetic code in two manners: having more than one tRNA (with a specific anti-codon) for a particular amino acid; and 'wobble' base-pairing, i.e. permitting non-standard base-pairing at the 3rd anti-codon position. Lineage: Bacteria; Candidatus Amesiibacteriota. The record is from RNAcentral.
GGACGAUUAGCUCAGCUGGCUAGAGCGUUCGAUUCACAUUCGAGAGGCCGGGGGUUCAAGUCCCUCAUCGUCCA